GACGAACGCUGGCGGCGUGCUUAACACAUGCAAGUCGAACAGAAAGGCCCUGCUUUUGUGGGGUGCUCGAGUGGCGAACGGGUGAGUAACAUGUGAGUAACCUGCCCUUGACUUUGGGAUAACUUCAGGAAACUGGGGCAAAUACCGGAUAGGAGCUCCUGCUGCAUGGUGGGGGUUGGAAAGUUUCGGCGGUUGGGGAUGGACUCGCGGCUUAUCAGCUUGUUGGUGGGGUAGUGGCUUACCAAGGCUUUGACGGGUAGCCGGCCUGAGAGGGUGACCGGCCACAUUGGGACUGAGAUACGACCCAGACUCCUACGGGGGGCAGCAGUGGGGAAUAUUGCACAAUGGGCGGAAGCCUGAUGCAGCAACGCCGCGUGCGGGAUGACGGCCUUCGGGUUGUAAACCGCUUUCGCCUGUGACGAAGUGUGAGUGACGGUGAUGGGUAAAGAAGCACCGGCUAACUACGUG
This 468-nucleotide ribosomal RNA is filed under the name uncultured bacterium. Its description in RNAcentral is "partial 16S ribosomal RNA". It matches the Rfam family "Bacterial small subunit ribosomal RNA", at positions 28 to 507 of the family's 1533-position model. The record is from RNAcentral.